AAGCCAUGAUGUGGACACUUCUUUAGCAAUUCAUUCAAAUGCUCCCACGCUUCAUGUAGGGGUUCUUCAUCCCCUUUAGAAAAUUCAUGAAUCAAAGUUCUCAUUGA
Molecule: small nucleolar RNA, 107 nt
Organism: Cornus florida
Lineage: Eukaryota; Viridiplantae; Streptophyta; Magnoliopsida; Cornales; Cornaceae
Source: RefSeq, a predicted model, not a curated record